UGGGGAAUAUUGCACAAUGGGGGAAACCCUGAUGCAGCGACGCCGCGUGAAGGAAGAAGUAUUUCGGUAUGUAAACUUCUAUCAGCAGGGAAGAAGAUGACGGUACCUGACUAAGAAGCACCGGCUAAAUACGUGCCAGCAGCCGCGGUAAUACGUAUGGUGCAAGCGUUAUCCGGAUUUACUGGGUGUAAAGGGAGCGUAGACGGAGAGGCAAGUCUGAAGUGAAAGCCCGGGGCUCAACCCCGGGACUGCUUUGGAAACUGCAGUUCUAGAGUGCCGGAGAGGUAAGCGGAAUUCCUAGUGUAGCGGUGAAAUGCGUAGAUAUUAGGAGGAACACCAGUGGCGAAGGCGGCUUACUGGACGGUGACUGACGUUGAGGCUCGAAAGCGUGGGGAGCAAACA
RNAcentral lists this ribosomal RNA (402 nucleotides) under uncultured bacterium. RNAcentral's name for it is "bacterial SSU rRNA". It matches the Rfam family "Bacterial small subunit ribosomal RNA", at positions 355 to 774 of the family's 1533-position model. The record is from RNAcentral.